CUAGUUUAUGCUUAUUCUAUUCCAUUAAUCUAUUUUUCUAUUUUUGUCUUAAAUUGAAAGUGUUGAGAACUGAUACAAAAGCUGCCUGGUUUCCUAUUGUGUGAGUUCUGUAGAAAGUGAUCUUCUAACAACCCUAAAAUCUUAGAGCUAAAAGGGAAGUCAUUGAACCCAACCUUCCAGUGAACUUCACUUUUAUUUCUGAAUAUGACAAGCUUAGCAAGGCACCAUCCUGGAUAGCAUGCAAGAUGGGAGCCCCAAGUUGACGUCUUUCCCUAAGAAGAAGGAAAGGGUCAUGGUUGUGGAGGAAAGGUUCACCUGGAAAGCAUGGAACAAAAGCUUGUGCUUCUACUUAUGUGACCUGGGUGAGCCACUUACCUUAUCUGGGUCUUGGUUUCCUCCUCUAUAAAACAGAGGUUGGACUAGACCAGAGGUAUCAA
Molecule: long non-coding RNA, 437 nt
Filed under: Phascolarctos cinereus (koala)
Lineage: Eukaryota; Metazoa; Chordata; Mammalia; Diprotodontia; Phascolarctidae
Description: lncRNA (ENSPCIG00000028785.2)
Source: RNAcentral